UUUUCCCACUUAGCCAAUCUUCUUCUCGAACUCUCCAAGUUUCAAUCCAAAAUUUCUCACUCGCAAGCGAAGAAAAAACCGUUUCGAGCUCAAUUUUUCCGAGAACCAAACGCACAUCUAUCAACUGAUCAUCAAGGUGACAGAAGCAAGUUUCCGAGCGCUCAAUUUCACGAAGUAUCCAUGCCUUGAGAAUUCACGAAGAACCCUAGCUUCAUCAUUUUCUGUCGGGGAAAAAUGGACAAUGAAACCGAAAUCUUCUCGCGCCUAGCCGCGAACCACCUGUUCCUCGCCCAAUUCGAACCUCUCAGGGCGAUAAUCCACGCUCUACGAGCCAAGGACCCCGAGCUUGCCCUCACCGUGCUCCAGACGAUCGUCGCUCGCUCCGGGCGGUUCGAGAACGUUCUGUGGUCUUCCUCGUGUGCGUCGCCAUCUCUUUUCACGUACUUGGUGACUCUCGAGCUUCUACAAUUCGACAACGCCUCGUCGGUUUGGAGCUUCGAUCGCGAGACGCUGUGAUUGCGAGCCGAGUUUUUGUUACUGGUUCAGCACCUGAUCGACUGGGUUUCGGAGACUAUGAGGAAGAAUUUCGAUUUGGAGAGCAUCGGUAAAGAGAGAGAAAGCGAGAGCUUCGAGGAGAGAGGAGAGUCAUUGGAUAAGAGUGAGGAUAAAAGCGACGAUUUGAGAGCUGCGAGCGGCGAAUGGGACAGAGCCGUCGGAGUUUUGGACAUAAUUUUGGAGUUGGGAGUGAAGAGGUUGAAGGCUGAUGUAGUUGUACACGAUGGUGAUGACGAUAAUCAUCUCUGAAUCAGGCCAUUGCAAUCGAGGAAGCCGAAUUCGUGUCCUUGUGGAAGGUAAUUUGGGAGUAUUCGGAUGCAUUGUGUUUGAAUAUACAGAAGCAAUUGAGAGGCUGGGAAGGCUAUGACUCUUCUGGUUUAGCAAUAAUGCCGCGGACGGACGGGAAUGCGGUUGUGGAGACGUCUGGGGAAGAAGAAGAGGAUGUGAAGAUUCUUGGUUUGAUACAAAGGAGUGUCCAAUUAGCUCAUUUAGAUGCCAUUAGAGAUUGUGUUAAAGAGGGUAAUGUGAAUGAAGCUGUUUCGCACAUUCGCUUUCUUAAUCUUAUUACAGAGUUGAGGAGUCCGAGUAUCGCAUUAUAUUACUGGAUCUCCUGAAGGUUGUUUCUCUGGGAAGGGAGGGAUAUGGGGACUCCUGGCAUGCCAAGAGAGAAAAGUUGUUGAUGAUUUAUGGUGCAGCUCUUGUAUCAAAUUGCAGACGUCUCAGCCAGAUGACAACAACCAGAUUCCACCCCCUCUUGAAUGUUUCCAGAGAUAUGUUGUAGAGUUGGAACUUGAUUCAGAUUUUGACAGAACCUUGUCCCUAACCAAUGCAGUCAUUUCUUGUACAAGAGACAUGUACCAUUAUGCUCGUGUGUCUUGAAAACACGUUCUUGAAUGUUUCCCUGACUUCAGCCUCUGGUAGCUACCAUGGGUUGGGAUUUGUUUACAAAAAUUAUGCUAUUUACUUCUUAUCUUUAAACUUUAUGCUAUUAUUUUUAUGCUUUCUCCAUGGUGAGACCCCCUAUAAAAAUCCCAUCAGCAAUGGUCAGAUCUGGAGAGAGAAUAGUUUUGUGCGGCGCGCCGUAACAGCAAUGGGAAUUUACCUUUGGUACUUCAUAA
RNA transcript from Morus notabilis, 1673 nucleotides. RefSeq lists it as uncharacterized. NCBI's taxonomy places the organism in Eukaryota, Viridiplantae, Streptophyta, Magnoliopsida, Rosales, Moraceae. The record is from RefSeq and is a predicted model, not a curated record. The transcript has 2 exons.